Molecule: non-coding RNA, 830 nt
Filed under: Ranina ranina
Lineage: Eukaryota; Metazoa; Arthropoda; Malacostraca; Decapoda; Raninidae
Source: RNAcentral
GUAAAGGAAGAUUGUAAAGCUUGAUUCUGGCUUAAUUUUUCACAUAAUGUAGAUAUUAUACAUGUAGGUAGUAACGAGAAAGGACUUAACAAUAGAUAUGGAAAGGAAUAAAUCAUAAAGAAAUGUAAGAGCUCAGUAUAUAGUACUAAGUUAAUCAGGAGAACCUGGACUUGAUCUAUAGUAAAACACCUGAUAAAAUUUUGUGCCAGCAGUCGCGGUUAGACUUAAAGGUGGAGUGAAAAGAAAUAGGAAGUUAGUUAGAUGUUUAAACUAGAGGGGAGUCUUACUUAAUAAAAGGUGAAAUUAGUUUAUUAAGUAUAAGAGCAAAAAGAAGUUAAUGUUGAGGCUAAAAAGUCCUAGAAAUAAAACAGGAUUAGAUACCCUGCUAUACUAGGAUUUAAAAUGGAACACUAAAAUAGUAAUAGUUAUAUUCUUGAAACUUAAAGGAUUUGGCGGUGCUUUAGACCAGUUAGAGGAACCUGUUACCAGAAAACGAUAAACCACGCAGAAUCUUACUCAUUUUUAUUUAGUUUGUAUACCGUCAUUAUUAGAUGAUUUUAGGAGAAUUAAUCAUUGUAAUAGAGAAAAUCUAGUAUAUUAGAUCAAGGUGCAGCUUAUAAGUGAGCGGGAAUGGGUUACAAUAUAACUUAUAUAUUAUGGAUAUGAAAAGGAAGAAAAGGUCAUUGAAGGAGGAUUUAAUUGUAAAUAAAGGAUUAAUAAGAAAUUUUGAUAUAGGCUCUAAAGCAUGUACAUAUCGCCCGUCGCUUUCAUUAUUAAGAUGAGAUAAGUCGUAACAUAGUAGGUAUACUGGAAAGUGUAUCUAGAAUUAA